Molecule: ribosomal RNA, 448 nt
Filed under: uncultured bacterium
Lineage: Bacteria
Description: SSU rRNA
Rfam family: Bacterial small subunit ribosomal RNA
Source: RNAcentral
AGAACGAACGCUGGCGGCAGGCCUCAAACAUGCAAGUCUAGGGGGCGUAGCAAUACGUCACCGGCGGACGGGUGCGUAACACGUGGGAAUGUACUUACUGGUUCGGAACAACUCAGGGAAACUUGAGCUAAUACCGAAUGUGCCCGAAAGGGGAAAGAUUUAUCGCCAGUAAAUCAGCCCGCGUCCGAUUAGCUAGUUGGCGGGGUAAAGGCCCACCAAGGCGACGAUCGGUAGCUGUUCUGAGAGGAAGAUCAGCCACACUGGGACUGAGACACGGCCCAGACUCCUACGGGAGGCAGCAGUUGGGAAUCUUGGACAAUGGGGGAAACCCUGAUCCAGCCAUGCCGCGUGAGUGAUGAAGGCCUUCGGGUUGUAAAACUCUUUCGACGGGGACGAUAAUGACGGUACCCGUAGAAGAAGCUCCGGCUAACUUCGCGCCAGCAGCCGC